RNAcentral lists this ribosomal RNA (27 nucleotides) under Elaphognathia cornigera. RNAcentral describes it as "partial 28S ribosomal RNA". Lineage: Eukaryota; Metazoa; Arthropoda; Malacostraca; Isopoda; Gnathiidae. The record is from RNAcentral.
CACGUUGCACAUAGCAUGUGGGUAGCC